Molecule: long non-coding RNA, 864 nt
Organism: Mytilus trossulus (common blue mussel)
Lineage: Eukaryota; Metazoa; Mollusca; Bivalvia; Mytilida; Mytilidae
Exons: 3
Source: RefSeq, a predicted model, not a curated record
GGGAUAAUAGCAGGUGCUUAGAUAUGAUUAUACAUAUAAUAAUGUCGACAAGAUAGUAACUGGCGAUACAGAGGCGUUUUAGACGACAAUUCAUAAACUGUAUCAAGACUUUUCAACCGGACAGCAGUGGUGUAUCCUAAUUAAUUCAAGUACGAAAUGUGAUUGGUUAUUGUAGAUGUUCCUCAUGGAAGGUAAUAAUACAACAGUAAGACCUGAUGUUGACAAUGAGCCUUCCAACGUUUUAUUAGCUGUGUCUGCUUUUCUACUGAUAGUAUCCGUAAUGGCAGGAAUUCUUAUUUGCAUAGUACGUCAAAGGAAAGUGGGUACCAUUAAUGAUGACGAAAUCGAAUUAGAAGAACCUAAUUGUGUUGACGAAACAAGUAAAUUAACUGGAGAUAAAAACGCACUCUGACAUUUCAGUACACAAUAUCUCUUUGAGUGUUCUACUGUUGCAUUCAAACAGUCAGAUGGAAGACUACAGCACUUAAGAGUUCACAUACAGUAGUAUCCUCAACACAUAUUUUCAUAAUAUAAAGUAAGGAUACGCAAUGAUAUAAUGCCUUACAAUAGGUUUUCAUCAAUUCUGUUAUGUUAACUACGUGUAUAUGAUAAUCGAUAUUUUAAGUGAUUAAAAUCCAAGUUUUGUAAUAUGUUGACUUAAUUUGUAGUUCAGUAUAAAAGGUCAAGUGAAAUAAAUGACCACACAAGUUCAUUUGACACGAAUUGAAGUGAGACGUUUUCUAAGAUCUUGAUAUAAAGAGGAAAUGUUAUAACGGUUUUGAACAAUAUGUUUAAUCACCUAGAACAUGUAUUUAUUAGUGUAAACAUAAUCUUUUGAGUAUACAAUAUUUAGUAGAAGAUACC